This 115-nucleotide ribosomal RNA is filed under the name Corchorus capsularis. Lineage: Eukaryota; Viridiplantae; Streptophyta; Magnoliopsida; Malvales; Malvaceae. The record is from RNAcentral.
GCGAUCAUACCAGUACUAAUGCACCGGAUCCCAUCAGAACUCCGCAAUUAAGCGUGCUUGGGCGAGAGUAGUACUAGGAUGGGUGACCUCCUGGGAAGUCCUCGUGUUGCACACC